GACGAACGCUGGCGGCGUGCUUAACACAUGCAAGUCGAACGGAAAGGCCCUGCUUGCAGGGUACUCGAGUGGCGAACGGGUGAGUAACACGUGGGUGAUCUGCCCUGCACUUCGGGAUAAGCCUGGGAAACUGGGUCUAAUACCGGAUAGGAGCCAUUUUUAGUGUGAUGGUUGGAAAGUUUUUUCGGUGUAGGAUGAGCUCGCGGCCUAUCAGCUUGUUGGUGGGGUAAUGGCCUACCAAGGCGGCGACGGGUAGCCGGCCUGAGAGGGUGGACGGCCACAUUGGGACUGAGAUACGGCCCAGACUCCGACGGGAGGAAGCAGUGGGGAAUAUUGCACAAUGGGCGCAAGCCUGAUGCAGCGACGCCGCGUGGGGGAUGACGGCCUUCGGGUUGGAAAAUCCUUUCGCUAGGGACGAAGCUUUUUGUGACGGUACCUAGAGAAGAAGCACCGGCUAACUACGUG
Molecule: ribosomal RNA, 465 nt
Filed under: uncultured bacterium
Lineage: Bacteria
Description: partial 16S ribosomal RNA
Rfam family: Bacterial small subunit ribosomal RNA
Source: RNAcentral